GACGAACGCUGGCGGCGUGCCUAAUACAUGCAAGUUGAGCGAUGAAGAUUGGUGCUUGCACCAAUUUGAAGAGCAGCGAACGGGUGAGUAACGCGUGGGGAAUCUGCCUUUGAGCGGGGGACAACAUUUGGAAACGAAUGCUAAUACCGCAUAAUAACUUUAAACAUAAGUUUUAAGUUUGAAAGAUGCAAUUGCAUCACUCAAAGAUGAUCCCGCGUUGUAUUAGCUAGUUGGUGAGGUAAAGGCUCACCAAGGCGAUGAUACAUAGCCGACCUGAGAGGGUGAUCGGCCACAUUGGGACUGAGACACGGCCCAAACUCCUACGGGAGGCAGCAGUAGGGAAUCUUCGGCAAUGGACGAAAGUUUGACCGAGCAACGCCGCGUGAGUGAAGAAGGUUUUCGGAUCGUAAAACUCUGUUGGUAGAGAAGAACGUUGGUGAGAGUGGAAAGCUCAUCAAGUGACGGUAACUACCCAGAAAGGGACGGCUAACUACGUG
RNAcentral lists this ribosomal RNA (497 nucleotides) under uncultured bacterium. RNAcentral's name for it is "partial 16S ribosomal RNA". It matches the Rfam family "Bacterial small subunit ribosomal RNA", at positions 28 to 507 of the family's 1533-position model. The record is from RNAcentral.